UUGAGGCCUUAAAGUACUGUAGCAGCACAUCAUGGUUUACAUACUGCAGUCAAGAUGCGAAUCAUUAUUUGCUGCUCUAGAAAUUUAAGGAAAUUCAU
This is a microRNA precursor of Dasypus novemcinctus (nine-banded armadillo), 98 nucleotides long. Ensembl annotates it as microRNA 15b. Its record names the gene MIR15B. The record is from Ensembl. NCBI's taxonomy places the organism in Eukaryota, Metazoa, Chordata, Mammalia, Cingulata, Dasypodidae.